Molecule: ribosomal RNA, 253 nt
Filed under: uncultured bacterium
Lineage: Bacteria
Description: partial 16S ribosomal RNA
Rfam family: Bacterial small subunit ribosomal RNA
Source: RNAcentral
UACGUAGGGGGCAAGCGUUGUCCGGAUUUAUUGGGCGUAAAGAGCGUGUAGGCGGCCAGAUAGGUCCGUUGUGAAAACUCGAGGCUCAACCUCGAGAUGUCGGCGGAAACCACUUGGCUAGAGUCCGGAAGAGGAGAGUGGAAUUCCUGGUGUAGCGGUGAAAUGCGCAGAUAUCAGGAAGAACACCUAUGGCGAAGGCAGCUCUCUGGGACGGUACUGACGCUGAGACGCGAAAGCGUGGGGAGCGAACAGG